GACGGGGGCCCGCACAAGCGGUGGAGCAUGUGGUUAAUUCGAAGCAACGCGAAGAACCUUACCAGGCCUUGACAUCCAAUUGACCAUCUUUUAAUCGAGAUUUGCCUUCGGGUACAAUUGAGACAGGUGGUGCAUGGUUGUCGUCAGCUCGUGUCGUGAGAUGUUGGGUUAAGUCCCGCAACGAGCGCAACCCUUGUGUUUAGUUGACAAACAGGUCAAGCUGUGCACUCUAGACAGACUGCCGUGGACAACACGGAGGAAGGUGGGGAUGACGUCAAAUCAUCAUGCCCCUUAUGAUCUGGGCUACACACGUGCUACAAUGGCCGGUACAACGGGCAGCGAAGGAGCGAUCCGGAGCGAAUCCUAAAAAGCCGGUCCCAGUUCGGAUUGCAGGCUGAAACUCGCCUACAUGAAGUUGGAGUUGCUAGUAAUCGCGAAUCAGAAUGUCGCGGUGAAUGCGUUCCCGGGUCUU
Molecule: ribosomal RNA, 472 nt
Filed under: uncultured Fusibacter sp.
Lineage: Bacteria; Bacillati; Bacillota; Clostridia; Eubacteriales; Fusibacteraceae
Description: bacterial SSU rRNA
Rfam family: Bacterial small subunit ribosomal RNA
Source: RNAcentral